RNAcentral lists this ribosomal RNA (1418 nucleotides) under uncultured organism. RNAcentral describes it as "16S ribosomal RNA". It matches the Rfam family "Bacterial small subunit ribosomal RNA". The record is from RNAcentral.
GAACGCUAGCUACAGGCUUAACACAUGCAAGUCGAGUUUCAGCAUUUCAGUUUGCUUGCAAACUGGAGAUGGCGACCGGCGCACGGGUGAGUAACACGUAUCCAACCUGCCGAUAACUCGGGGAUAGCCUUUCGAAAGAAAGAUUAAUACCCGAUGGUAUAAUCAGACCGCAUGGUCUUGUUAUUAAAGAAUUUCGGUUAUCGAUGGGGAUGCGUUCCAUUAGGCAGUUGGUGAGGUAACGGCUCACCAAACCUUCGAUGGAUAGGGGUUCUGAGAGGAAGGUCCCCCACAUUGGAACUGAGACACGGUCCAAACUCCUACGGGAGGCAGCAGUGAGGAAUAUUGGUCAAUGGGCGCAGGCCUGAACCAGCCAAGUAGCGUGAAGGAUGACUGCCCUAUGGGUUGUAAACUUCUUUUAUAUGGGAAUAAAGUUUUCCACGUGUGGAAUUUUGUAUGUACCAUAUGAAUAAGGAUCGGCUAACUCCGUGCCAGCAGCCGCGGUAAUACCGAGGAUCCGAGCGUUAUCCGGAUUUAUUGGGUUUAAAGGGAGCGUAGGCGGACGCUUAAGUCAGUUGUGAAAGUUUGCGGCUCAACCGUAAAAUUGCAGUUGAUACUGGGUGUCUUGAGUACAGUAGAGGCAGGCGGAAUUCGUGGUGUAGCGGUGAAAUGCUUAGAUAUCACGAAGAACUCCGAUUGCGAAGGCAGCCUGCUGGACUGUAACUGACGCUGAUGCUCGAAAGUGUGGGUAUCAAACAGGAUUAGAUACCCUGGUAGUCCACACAGUAAACGAUGAAUACUCGCUGUUUGCGAUAUACAGUAAGCGGCCAAGCGAAAGCGUUAAGUAUUCCACCUGGGGAGUACGCCGGCAACGGUGAAACUCAAAGGAAUUGACGGGGGCCCGCACAAGCGGAGGAACAUGUGGUUUAAUUCGAUGAUACGCGAGGAACCUUACCCGGGCUUGAAUUGCAACUGAAUGAUGUGGAGACAUGUCAGCCGCAAGGCAGUUGUGAAGGUGCUGCAUGGUUGUCGUCAGCUCGUGCCGUGAGGUGUCGGCUUAAGUGCCAUAACGAGCGCAACCCUUAUCGAUAGUUACCAUCAGGUUAUGCUGGGGACUCUGUCGAGACUGCCGUCGUAAGAUGUGAGGAAGGUGGGGAUGACGUCAAAUCAGCACGGCCCUUACGUCCGGGGCUACACACGUGUUACAAUGGGGGGUACAGAAGGCAGCUACACGGCGACGUGAUGCUAAUCCCUAAAGCCUCUCUCAGUUCGGAUUGGAGUCUGCAACCCGACUCCAUGAAGCUGGAUUCGCUAGUAAUCGCGCAUCAGCCACGGCGCGGUGAAUACGUUCCCGGGCCUUGUACACACCGCCCGUCAAGCCAUGAAAGCCGGGGGUACCUAAAGUGCGUAACCGCAAGGAG